AUCGCUUCUCGGCCUUUUGGCUAAGAUCAAGUGUGGUUUAGUACCUUUGGAGUUUGAAUGAGUAGAUGAAUCUCCUGGGAUAAUGUUGAAAGGUAGGGCAGGGAGCCUCAAGAAUCUGCAUUUUAUUGUAUUUUAUUUUUAUUUUUGUGGUAUUGGGGAUUGAACACAGGGCCUUCACAUUGAGCUAUAUCCCCAGCCUGUAUACAUUUUUAUUUUGAAACAGAGUUCCA
Molecule: small nuclear RNA, 230 nt
Filed under: Fukomys damarensis (Damara mole-rat)
Lineage: Eukaryota; Metazoa; Chordata; Mammalia; Rodentia; Bathyergidae
Description: U2 spliceosomal RNA
Rfam family: U2 spliceosomal RNA
About the family: U2 is a small nuclear RNA (snRNA) component of the spliceosome (involved in pre-mRNA splicing).
Source: Rfam by way of RNAcentral